AACGAACGCUGGUGGCGUGCUUAACACAUGCAAGUCGAACGAGAAAGUUUCUUUCGGGAAAUUAGUAAAGUGGCGCAAGGGUGAGUAUCACGUGAAUAAUCUGCCCUCGAGGUCGGGAUAACAUGGUGAAAACUAUGCUAAUACCGGAUAAGACCACAUUUCAUAAGAAAUGCGGUAAAAGGAGUCUCAAUCUUCACUCGAGGAUGAGUUCGCGCAACAUUAGCUUGUUGGUGAGAUAAAAGCUCACCAAGGCUACGAUGUUUAGCCGGCCUGAGAGGAUGAUCAGCCACAUCGGGACUGAGACACGGCCCGAACUCCUACGGGAGGCAGCAGUGGGGAAUAUUGGACAAUGGGGGCAACCCUGAUCCAGCAAUACCGCGUGUGUGAAG
RNAcentral lists this ribosomal RNA (389 nucleotides) under uncultured Nitrospina sp. RNAcentral's name for it is "bacterial SSU rRNA". It matches the Rfam family "Bacterial small subunit ribosomal RNA", at positions 29 to 410 of the family's 1533-position model. The record is from RNAcentral. Lineage: Bacteria; Pseudomonadati; Nitrospinota; Nitrospinia; Nitrospinales; Nitrospinaceae.